RNAcentral lists this ribosomal RNA (35 nucleotides) under Pythium aphanidermatum. RNAcentral describes it as "partial 28S ribosomal RNA". Lineage: Eukaryota; Oomycota; Peronosporomycetes; Pythiales; Pythiaceae. The record is from RNAcentral.
AUUGGACCUGAUAUCAGGUAAGAUUACCCGCUGAA